UUUUGGGUUUAGUGAAGUAUUCCAAUGUUUGAUGUUGUACUAAUGAUAAUCAUAUUAUUUUUCCUUCAGACAAACAUCACAUCUAGUAGUAAUUCUAUGUCUGAAUUAAUUCAUUCUCCAACCAACCACAUGCAAGUGCAAACAAAAGGUGUGGUGGGUUGACCCUGGCCGACAACCAAACACCCAGACAGCCUCUUUCUUACUCUCCCCUCCCAUGAGAUCGGGAGAAAACAGAAGAAAGGAAGGAGAAAAAAUGACCAGUAUGGCUUUUUGUCCCUGUUUAUAAAGAAGUCAUGGGCAUCCUUGCAGAAACCAACAACAGCUUCCACAGCAAAUCCCCCAAACAGCUGAAACACUUCACCUUCCCACUGCUUGAAAAAAAUAAAAUAAAAUAAAAUAAAAUAAUAAAAUAAAAUAAAAUAAAAUAAAAUAAAAUAAAAUAAAAUAAAAUAAAAUAAAAUAAACAGGAGAGCAAGUGCAACAGUAUGUUUUUUCACCUUAAAUGUUCUGCAACAGAUGUUUAGUAAGCUAAUGCUGAUAAUUCCUUCACAAAAUACUUUGAACUUUGGGAUGUAGAUUGGUGUAAGUAUUCAACAGGAAUGUCCCUCUUUGUUCUCAGUUGGGAAAUUUCCAGGAAAAUCUGAGGAAGACUACAUCUCUAGUCAUAAAAGCUGUUUACCAUCCUGUUACAUUCAUUGGCAAAAUUCCUUAUUCUGUUGCUCUACUUUUCUGUUGUGCUCAGACUCUACCUUGAAGAGCUGACAUAUGAUGAAGAAUCAAGAGGCUAGAAAAUCACUCUGCAGUCUGAAUUCUAUAGCAGCUUUAUAAGUGACUGUCACCCAUCAUAAUCUUGAUAUCUAUUAGUUUUUCUCUAUUUUUUCUUCCCCUCUCUUUUCCUCUUGGGAUUUGACUAAGGAAAGUGAUAGACCUCUAUCAAUAGGAGCUAAAGUUUUUUGAAGAGGAACUUUCUGCAGCUUUUACCAACACUUUUCAGAGUUAGAAACAGGACUGAUAAAAAAAGGCUAUAUAGCUAACUUCACUCACUUUGACAUAACCCAAAUGCACUAACUUAAAAUGAAAUGUUCAUGUUUCCUCUGUCUCUGCUAGGAGAAAAUGAAUUCCUUCUGUUUUUAAACAUGACUGCAUUUAAUUUCACCUGCAUUAAGUGAAGUCUAAAAAUAUUUGAGACAACAAAGUGAUGCCCCCAUUAUAGGUUUUACAUUUCAUUACUUUGAAAAAGUAGUAUUUGUACAUUUCUCUAUACUAAGCUUAUCUUCAAGUAUGCAUUUUUUUUUUUUUCUGAACACCAACAUCUGUCUGUUUUUUCACACCUUAAAUCUCUAUUUCUGCAAUCAAAUGAUGAGUCCAUAAUUCACAACAGAACUGGUGAAGAAGAUUGCUUCCAGGAAAACCUCUAAGAAAAGCAUAUGACUAGCAUAGCAUGGAUCCCUUGAAAUACAGCUUCCGAGAGUGUCCUUAGCCAUUCUGAGCACAGGUCACACUCUGCAAUCAAGUUCAAGAUUGAUCAUGAUUUGAUUGCUUAGUGUUAUGCUACCAUCACAUUGAGUACUGCUGUUGUAAUGUGACAGAAACUCCAAGCAGCAUUGAUUUUUGAUUGAUUUGAUUGAGUCUUUGUGACUUGGCGUCAGUGUUUGCAUCUGUUAUUCACACUGAUGCUUGUCGGUAGUGUAUUUUGGCCAGAUCUGGUAGCCAAUUGUCUUUGGAAUGAAAAGAGCAACCUAAUGGAAAAAGCUUCACUAGAGCUUCUGCUCAGCUACCAAGUCCAUUUUGCAUCUGAGAUACAUUUUCAAGACAUAUACAAAGCUGAAGAAAGCAGCUUUUCUUCCAUCCUGUCUGGUAGUCUCAGUCCUCAGUCUGUGAGUCUCCUGCUUAUGCUCACCCUCAGGGCAGUUCUCAGUCUCCCUGGCAGCUGCAUUUUUCUGCCAUGAGUAAGAUCUUGUAUCCCAAUGGUCAAUUGGGAUUAAUGGUCAACCAAUUAGCUGCAGUUGAGAACUGGCUCUUCAGUCCCUCACUUACUGUCAUGGAUUGAAGCACUCUUCACAAUGCACAGAAUGCAUGGAAAUUAACUCCAUUAUAAGCAGACAAAUCUGUAAAUCCCCAGAAAAUUUGUUGUCUUAGCUAAAACCUGAUAUAUUGUAAUUUUUCUUAAUGAAAGUUGUACAUUUUUAUUAUUUCACUUUGUACUUGAACAAUAAAAAAACACAGAUAUUUUCCAUCUGGAUCAACUGAUUGUCAAUAAAUGAUCAGCUACUGUAAUAUUUUUCUCUGAUAUUUCAGCCUUUAAGAUUAUUUGGUUAUUGUUUUAAAACUGCAGGUCUAAGUCAUGUAAUUCCUUACCAUUUGCUUAGUGAAGACCCAUCAUUUGCAAUCUUGUUAAUAUCUUUAUCUUCUUUUCUCCCUGCACUCACCUGGGCUUAUGUGGGGGUACUUUUGUUAUUUAUAUAUUAAAUAUUUUA
Anas platyrhynchos (mallard) is the source of this 2477-nucleotide non-coding RNA. The record is from RefSeq and is a predicted model, not a curated record. Lineage: Eukaryota; Metazoa; Chordata; Aves; Anseriformes; Anatidae.